GACGAACGCUGGCGGCGUGCUUAACACAUGCAAGUCGAACGGAAAGGCCCUGCUUUUGUGGGGUGCUCGAGUGGCGAACGGGUGAGUAACACGUGAGUAACCUGCCCUUGACUUUGGGAUAACUUCAGGAAACUGGGGCUAAUACCGGAUAGGAGCUCCUGCUGCAUGGUGGGGGUUGGAAAGUUUCGGCGGUUGGGGAUGGACUCGCGGCUUAUCAGCUUGUUGGUGGGGUAGUGGCUUACCAAGGCUUUGACGGGUAGCCGGCCUGAGAGGGUGACCGGCCACAUGGGGACUGAGAUACGGCCCAGACUCCUACGGGAGGCAGCAGUGGGGAAUAUUGCACAAUGGGCGGAAGCCUGAUGCAGCAACGCCGCGUGCGGGAUGACGGCCUUCGGGUUGUAAACCGCUUUCGCCUGUGACGAAGCGUGAGUGACGGUAAUGGUAAAGAAGCACCGGCUAACUACGUG
This 467-nucleotide ribosomal RNA is filed under the name uncultured bacterium. Its description in RNAcentral is "partial 16S ribosomal RNA". It matches the Rfam family "Bacterial small subunit ribosomal RNA", at positions 28 to 507 of the family's 1533-position model. The record is from RNAcentral.